GACGAACCGAGCAAACGUUAUUCGGAAUCACUGGGCUUAAAGGGCGCGUAGGCGGGCAUUCAAGUCCGUGGUGAAAUCCGGCAGCUCAACUGUCGAACUGCCGCGGAUACUGGGUGUCUCGAGGGAGGUAGGGGCGUGCGGAACUAUUGGUGGAGCGGUGAAAUGCGUUGAUAUCAAUAGGAACUCCGGUGGCGAAGGCGGCACGCUGGACCUCUUCUGACGCUGAGGCGCGAAAGCCAGGGGAGCAAACGGG
RNAcentral lists this ribosomal RNA (253 nucleotides) under uncultured bacterium. Its description in RNAcentral is "partial 16S ribosomal RNA". It matches the Rfam family "Bacterial small subunit ribosomal RNA", at positions 524 to 776 of the family's 1533-position model. The record is from RNAcentral.